ACACGAAAAAUACCGUUAAACUGUUAGUGCGCCGCCGUGCGAGUCUAUAAGAACGAAAUGAGACCACAAAUGUGUUAAGCUGGGCAGGCGAAGCAAAACGGGCAAAAAGUAUGGCUACAAAUUGAAAACACGGAAAAUUAACAAGAAAUUGCAAUAUACAAUACUCGUCGGCAUAAGGGCAACAGACGGAGUGGACUGUUGGGCGGACAAGAUAAAUGACGAGGCAACAACAAGUGAUAAAUAAUCGCAAACUGCAACUGUAAAUAAGUACAUACAUCCAUACACACACAUACGUAGAUGCAUGUGGUUUUACAUGCUUAUAUAAAUAUUUAUAACAAAUAACGCGGAAACGUCGUAACACGCCCAUAGCGAAAUCCAUAAAGUGUUGCAUACGAGGAAAAUACUCCUGGUCAAACAACAACAAAAAUAGCAGCGCAGACAGUGUUGCCAAGUGGCGCAAAGUGUAACAAUAAGUAACGUAACGUCCUUGGUAACGGCAAACGUUAAAACUGGAACAGGCAUAAAAAGAACAAACAGAAGGACGGGCAUACAGCGAAAAAAAGGUGUGCUACAAAAAUAUGGCAGCAGCAGCAGGAGCAGUGUCAACAUCGC
Molecule: long non-coding RNA, 612 nt
Organism: Drosophila grimshawi
Lineage: Eukaryota; Metazoa; Arthropoda; Insecta; Diptera; Drosophilidae
Exons: 3
Source: RefSeq, a predicted model, not a curated record